This 84-nucleotide transfer RNA is filed under the name Candidatus Omnitrophota bacterium. Its description in RNAcentral is "tRNA-Leu". It matches the Rfam family "tRNA". Rfam says of the family: Transfer RNA (tRNA) molecules are approximately 80 nucleotides in length. Their secondary structure includes four short double-helical elements and three loops (D, anti-codon, and T loops). Further hydrogen bonds mediate the characteristic L-shaped molecular structure. tRNAs have two regions of fundamental functional importance: the anti-codon, which is responsible for specific mRNA codon recognition, and the 3' end, to which the tRNAs corresponding amino acid is attached (by aminoacyl-tRNA synthetases). tRNAs cope with the degeneracy of the genetic code in two manners: having more than one tRNA (with a specific anti-codon) for a particular amino acid; and 'wobble' base-pairing, i.e. permitting non-standard base-pairing at the 3rd anti-codon position. The record is from RNAcentral. Lineage: Bacteria; Pseudomonadati; Candidatus Omnitrophota.
GCCGAGGUGGCGGAUCUGGCAGACGCGCUGGACUCAAAAUCCAGUGGCCGCAAGGCCAUGCGGGUUCGACCCCCGCCCUCGGCA